CAGCAGCCGCGGGAAUACGAAGGGGGCUAGCGUUGCUCGGAAUCACUGGGCGUAAAGGGUGCGUAGGCGGGUCUUUAAGUCAGAGGUGAAAUCCUGGAGCUCAACUCCAGAACUGCCUUUGAUACUGAGGAUCUUGAGUUCGGGAGAGGUGAGUGGAACUGCGAGUGUAGAGGUGAAAUUCGUAGAUAUUCGCAAGAACACCAGUGGCGAAGGCGGCUCACUGGCCCGAUACUGACGCUGAGGCACGAAAGCGUGGGGAGCGAACAGGAUUAGAUACCCCAGUAGUCCCUGUCUCUUAUAC
This 301-nucleotide ribosomal RNA is filed under the name uncultured bacterium. RNAcentral's name for it is "partial 16S ribosomal RNA". It matches the Rfam family "Bacterial small subunit ribosomal RNA", at positions 509 to 807 of the family's 1533-position model. The record is from RNAcentral.